GAAAAAUAAAUAAAAAGUAUACAUUUAAGUCUUUUAACAU
RNAcentral lists this small RNA (40 nucleotides) under Anaerobutyricum hallii. RNAcentral's name for it is "CRISPR_Spacer". The record is from RNAcentral. Lineage: Bacteria; Bacillati; Bacillota; Clostridia; Lachnospirales; Lachnospiraceae.